Molecule: ribosomal RNA, 1234 nt
Filed under: metagenome
Description: bacterial LSU rRNA
Rfam family: Bacterial large subunit ribosomal RNA
Source: RNAcentral
UGAUGACGAGACGCUAAGGCGUUGAAGCAGUGUAUGUCAGACUUCCAAGAAAAGCUCGCAAUGUCACAAAUAAAAGAUGCCUGUACCAUAACCGACACAGGUGGGUAGGUAGAGUAUACUAAGGGGCGCGAGAUAACUCUCUCUAAGGAACUCGGCAAAAUGACUCCGUAACUUCGGGAGAAGGAGUGCCUUAUUUAUAAGGUUGCAAUAACAAGAUCCAAGCAACUGUUUAUCAAAAACACAGGUCUCCGCUAAGUCGUAAGACGAUGUAUGGGGGCUGACGCCUGCCCAGUGCCAGAAGGUUAAAGAAGUUGGUUAGUGUAUGCGAAGCUGAUGACUGAAGCCCUGGUGAACGGCGGCCGUAACUAUAACGGUCCUAAGGUAGCGAAAUUCCUUGUCGGGUAAGUUCCGACCCGCACGAAAGGCGUAAUGAUUUGGAUACUGUCUCGGAGAGAGGCUCGGUGAAAUAGACUUGUCUGUGAAGAUGCGGACUACCUGCACCAGGACAGAAAGACCCUAUGAAGCUUUACUGUAACUUGAAAUUGGAAUUGGACUUUGCUUGCGCAGUAUAGGUGGGAAGCGUUGAAGAUAUUCUUGCGGGAGUAUUGGAGCUAUCAGUGAGAUACCACUCUUGUAAUGUUAGAUUUCUAACUUUGAACCAUAAUCUGGUCAAAGAACAGUUUCAGGUGGGCAGUUUGACUGGGGCGGUCGCCUCCCAAAUGGUAACGGAGGCGUACAAAGGUUUCCUCUGAACGGAUAGAAAUCGUAUCUAGAGUGUAAAGGCAUAAGGAAGCUUGACUGUGAGACCUACAAGUCGAGCAGGGACGAAAGUCGGUCUUAGUGAUCUGACGGUACUGAGUGGAAAGGCCGUCACUCAACGGAUAAAAGUUACUCUAGGAUAACAGGCUGAUCUCCCCCAAGAGUUCACAUCGACGGGGAGGUUUGGCACCUCGAUGUCGGCUCAUCGCAUCCUGGGGCGGUAGUACGUCCCAAGGGUUGGGCUGUUCGCCCAUGAAAGCGGUACGCGAGCUGGGUUCAGAACGUCGUGAGACAGUUCGGUCCAUAUCCGGUGUAGGCGUUAGAAUAUUGAGAGGAGCCUUCUUUAGUACGAGAGGACCGAGAAGGACACACCGCUGGUGUACCAGUUAUCGUGCCAACGGUAAACGCUGGGUAGCUAUGUGUGGAGUGGAUAACCGCUGAAAGCAUCUAAGUGGGAAGCCCACCUCAAGAUGAG